Molecule: ribosomal RNA, 255 nt
Filed under: uncultured bacterium
Lineage: Bacteria
Description: partial 16S ribosomal RNA
Rfam family: Bacterial small subunit ribosomal RNA
Source: RNAcentral
UACGGGGGGGGGCAAGCGUUGUUCGGAAUUACUGGGCGUAAAGGGCUUGUAGGUGGCCAACUAAGUCAGACGUGAAAUCCCUCGGCUUAACCGGGGAACUGCGUCUGAUACUGGAUGGCUUGAGUGUGGGAGAGGGAUGCGGAAUUCCAGGUGUAGCGGUGAAAUGCGUAGAUAUCUGGAGGAACACCGGUGGCGAAGGCGGCAUCCUGGACCAUUACUGACACUGAGAAGCGAAAGCCAGGGGGAGCAAACGGG